GGAGAUUUUAUGCAACACUGAGGAGCUGAAGGGUGAGCUGUGGCGUCUGCAGAUGAAAUACAAUCAGGUGGUUGAGCACAAGAGACUCAUCCAGCAAGAGCGAGAAGAUGUUUCUGUGGAGGUGGAUGCAAUUACCACUGACUGCCUGGCCCUUCGAGAGCAAGUGGCCAUCUAUGAGGAGCAGCUGGCCGCCAUGGAGAGGCAGCACGAAACGAGACUGGAGAAAUUGUGUGAGCCCAGGACUCCGGAUGAAGGUUCUCCUACUGUAUCCCUGCAGUUCCCCUCCUUUGAUAUCACACCAGCCAUCAUGGACAUCAAGGAGUACUAUGGCACACUAGCCGAGAGCCUCAAGUUUGAGUUCAGAGCCUCGAGCACUGCCGCCAUUGAUGCCGCAGGAAAGGAGGAGGAGCAGCUGGCUAAGUUGACUGGAGGGAAAGUGAAGGACGUCUCCAAAGAGACUGACUUGAAUGUCCUCAAGAACUUGAUUGCGGAGCUGCAGAAAGAGGUGGCAGAGCUGGAGAAGCGUGGAGACGAGUUGGAGGCUGAAAUAGAAGCCAGGAAAGCCAAAUGCCUGGAGGAAAUAGAGAAGCUGGAGAAUUACAUUUGUCAGCUGGAGGAGGAGGAGGCUGAUCUUCAGUUCCAGAUGAAGGAUCAGAGUGGGGACUAUGAAGAACUGCUGAAUCAGAAGAUGAAUCUAGACAUAGAGAUUGCUGCUUACAGGGGUUUGGUUGAAGAAGAAGAGGAGAGACUGAGCUGCCUGUAAGAUGCAAGAAGAGGUGAUGCUCUCCUCUGGACUGAAGCAGACACAAAGAAACAAUAAAACCACAUACAAUUCAACCCUUAACUGCAAAUCUCACAAAUCAGGAAAGUAAAGAAAACAGCUGUCAGACACACUUAACCUUCUGAGCAGAUGUAAACCUUCACUGACAGAUGAACUUCAGGGAGUUUGUGCAAGCUCAUUGAUAACGGGUCAGUGGCAGGUAACCUCGGGUCUUCAAGAAACGCUGGAUCUGUGCAGCAGUGGGAGUGUGUUGAGAGUGAUGGGGGAUUUUCAGCACUGGAAUCUCCUAUUGAAAGUUUCAUAGUCCCUAUCACUGAGACACAUACACACCCUACUGUUGAAAAGUUUGGGGUCAGCAAGUUUUCUUUUUUUAAAGAAGCAGUACUUUUAUCCAACAAGGAUGCAUUAAACAAAAGUGAUGAUAAAGACAUUUAUAAUGUUACCAAAGACUUCUAUUUCAAAUGAAUGCUGAACUUUCUAUUAAUCGAAGAAUCCUAAAAAAAUACAUAAUUCCCCCCCCCAAAAAAAUAUUAAGCAGCAC
Molecule: long non-coding RNA, 1322 nt
Filed under: Sinocyclocheilus grahami
Lineage: Eukaryota; Metazoa; Chordata; Actinopteri; Cypriniformes; Cyprinidae
Description: lncRNA (ENSSGRG00000053776.1)
Source: RNAcentral